This 422-nucleotide ribosomal RNA is filed under the name uncultured archaeon. RNAcentral's name for it is "partial 16S ribosomal RNA". It matches the Rfam family "Archaeal small subunit ribosomal RNA", at positions 323 to 746 of the family's 1478-position model. The record is from RNAcentral.
CUACGGGUGGCAGCAGUUAGGGAUCUUUUGCAAUGCGCGCAAGCGUGACAAAGCGAGCCAGAGUGUUUCUCGUUUAGAGAAACUUUUGCCAGCUGUAAAAAGGCUGGCGAAUAAGGACUGGGCAAGACCGGUGCCAGCCGCCGCGGUAAUCCCGGCAGUCCAAGUCGCAGCCAAUUUUAUUGGGUCUAAAACAUCCGUAGCUUGUCUUGAAAGUCUGUUGUGAAAUUCUGUCUCUUAAGGACAGAGAUUGCAAUAGAUACUACAAGACUGGAGACCGGUGGACGCGAGGAGUACACCAGAGGUAGUCGUAAAAAACGUUAAUCUUUGGUGGACUAACAAUAGCGAAGGCAUCUCGCGAUGACGGUUCUGACAGUGAGGGAUGAAGGCUAGGGGCGCAAAACGGAUUAGAUACCCUGGUAGUC